Molecule: unclassified non-coding RNA, 249 nt
Filed under: Hevea brasiliensis (rubber tree)
Lineage: Eukaryota; Viridiplantae; Streptophyta; Magnoliopsida; Malpighiales; Euphorbiaceae
Source: RNAcentral
UGUCCCGGGCCGUAUCAUCAAGUUCGAUGCCGCCAUCGGUGAGGCCGUUCAGUUCGGUCCUCUGCGCGUCAAGCCGCAAGCUUGUUACACGCGGCCAUCGACAGAAGCGGCCAACACCGACGCCUUUGUCGAGGUCGAUGAAAUCACCUUGCAGGGCGAGGUGAAGCGGAUUUUCUCCGGCUGGAUGUUCGCAGCCAGCCCGGGUCUGCACGGCGUCGAGCACCCGAUUUACGAUAUCUGGCUGACCGA